CCUACACUAUGCAUACGCCAUGUAGUGGAUGACUCGGCUAGGGUGCCGAUGAAGGGCGCGGUAAGCAGCGAAAUGCUGCGGGGAGACGCAGACUGUCUACGAUCCGCAGAUUCCCGAAUCGGAUUUCCGGUCAUAGCUUAAUAAGUUGUGACAGCCAGUAAUGGCGGGGUACCCAGGGAACCAAAACAUUCAAGUACCUGGAGGAAAAGAAAACAAUUGUGAUUCCGGUAGUAACGGCGAGUAAACCCGGAACAGGCCAAACCGAAUUCCCUUUUGGAAACAUUAGGGCAGAUGUGGUGUUUUUGACUACACAAAAGAUCGUAAGAGUUAAGUCGAAUAUCUCUGGAAAGAGAAGCUAUAGAGGGUAAUAGCCCCGUAGACGUAAGCUCACGACUUAGUAGUAUCAAGACUAGCGUGGCUUGGAUUUGUCGCGCAAAUAUGGGAGGACUAACUCCCAAGCCUAAAUACACCCCUAGACCGAUAGCGCACUAGUAACGUGAGUAAAAGUUGAAAAGUAUUCGAAGUACGAGAGUGAAAAGUACCUGAAACUACAUGGUAACAGACGUGGAUGGCCUGAAAGGGUAGAUUCUCGGUGAAGGAACCCAUCGUAAGGUGGUAGUACGAGCUGAGAGGACCAGGGUCAUCCGUUCCGUCUCGAAACACGGGCCGAGGAGUUCAGGUUUGUGGCGAGCCUAAGCAUUAUGCGGUGGCGUAGCGAAAGCGACCUGCGCGCAGCUUCGGCAAGGCGCGACGUCCGAUAAGGGCGUGAAGUCACAAGUCUGAGACCCGAAAGCAGUUGAUCUAUCCCUGACCAAGGUGAAGCGCUUCGAAAGGAGCGUGGAGGCCUGAAGGGUUAUUGAUAUGCAAUUCAUUCCUCUGAGUUGGGGAUAGUGGCAAAAGACCAAUCUAAACUGCUGAUAGCUGGUUCCCCCCGAAGUAUCACCACAGGAUAGCGUUGCUGGAGGUGGCAUGUGAGGUAGAGCUACGGACGGAAGGUUCUGGAGAGUGAAAUCUUCACCCUUCCUUCCAACUCCGAACUUGCAUGCGCCGUAGAAGGCGACAGACGGGCGCGUGUCCGCAAGGGAUGCGGCCGAAAGGGGAACAACCCUACAUCAGGUUAAGGGCCCUAAAUCCCGGUUAAAUGUUAAACAGAAUGGCGUCCAAUAGCACAAACAAUGAGGCGGUAAGCUUAGAAGCAGCUAUCCGUUAAAAAAAGCGUAACAGCUUACUCAUCGAGUUGUUGGGCCCAGAAAAUGGACGGGGCUAAACCGGGUCCCGAUACCUGAUUGAACUUCAUAAGAGUUUUAGGUAGGGGGGCGACCGGGUUGGGUAGAAGCUGGGGAGUGAUUCCCAGUGGACCGAUCUGGUUUGCAGAUCUCGGUGGUAGUAGGAGCAUAGUGAGGUGAGAAUCCUCACCGCCGGAAGCCCAAGGGUUCCUUGGCAAUGUUCGUCAGCCAAGGGUUAGUCGGUCCUAAGGUCGGUCUUAAAACGAGCCGAUCGAAAGGGGAACAGGUUCAUAUUCCUGUACCACGCAUAUAGACGCGGCGACGCAAGCUCUGAGCUAACGCUGGUGGGUAGGUGACCUAGGAGAAUAUCCUAGUUAAAUUUCGAAAUCUGGGGAGAACCGUUAAGGUGAGAACCAGAAGAAUAAAUGAAGAGGCUGGCCAUUGGUUGCUGGCUGUCAUCAAUCCCAACAGCUCAUAAAAAGGCAAAGAGAACGAUUAAGCGUGUCCGUACCCAGAACCGAAACAGGUGUGGCUAGCUUAGAAGGCUAAGGCGUGUUAGGAGAGCUUAGGUGAAGGAAAUCGGCAAAUUAGUCCCGUACCUUGGGUAUAAGGGAUGCCUGGCGAGGUGAAAGCCUCACCAGGUCGCAGUGACUUGGGGCACCCGACUGUUUAAUAAAAACAUAGCAAACUGCAAGGGCGAAAGCCUGAGUACAGUUUGUGAAUCCUGGCCGGUGCUGGUGAUUGAAACCUGGGUUCAACCAGGCUAAGACCCAGUAAACGCCGGAGCUAACUAUGAGCUUCUUAAGGUAGGCAAAUGCCUUGUCUGCUAAUUACAGACGUCCAUGAAGGGACCAACGAGGUGCCCACUGUCUCCACCUAAAGCCUACUGAACCCACAGUCCAGCGAACAGUCUGGAACGCACCAUCGGGAAGAGAAGACCCUGUGGAGCUUUACUGCUGUCAGGGGCUGUUGUAUUGGUGUGCAUACAUAGCAUAGUCAGGAAACGUUAUAUCCUACAUUCUCCGGGAUGUAGGGGAGUUGAUCUUGAAAUACUGACUGUGUGCAUUGGUACGACUUACCUCUUGCGAGGGGGACACCCCCUGCCUGGCAGUUUCACUGGGGCGGUAGCCUCUUGAAAAGAUAUCAAGAGGGCCCAAAGCCAAGCUCAACCGGGACAGAAAUCCGGUGAAGAGUGCAAGGGCAAAAGCUUGGUUGACUGUGAACUCACCAACACGGUUCGCAGAUGUUAACGCAGGGCCUAGCGAUCCUUCGCAAUGCCCUUAGUAGGCGGCGGAGGUGGCAGAAAAGUUACCCCAGGGGUAACUGCGCUUCAUUAUACUUACGUAUAAAGUUGUGCUCUCAUCUGGGUAACAUUUAUCUGUUGCACAUUUUUUCAAUUGGCAGAGCUAAUAAUAUAUAAUUAGAUAAUUGCUCCUGUCUUCAAUUUCCGGUGAGGAAAUUAUAAUAGGUUUUCGCCAAAUUGGCAUAAUAAAAUCUUGAACAGAAUGGGUCCAUUAUCUGUCUGAUAUCCCAACAAAUUGAUAUAUGAAUUCCCAAAAGAUUAACAACACAACAGAUGAAGAGCCAUCAACUUUAAAGCGUGAGUACUCGAUAGGUGACAGGAUUGGUAACUGCCCUUUACGGGGUUAACAAUUGAUCCUCAAACCAAUGUGCUAUGUAUUUUGCAUAGGCGCAGCCCUGAACAGAGUUGUCGUGGGUAAGAGUUCACAUCGACCUCACGGCUUGCUACCUCGAUGUCGGCUCUUCCUAGCUUGGUCCUGAUUCAGGGGCCAAGAGUGGGGUUGUUCGCCCAUUAAAAGGGAACGUGAGCUGGGUUUAGACCGUUGUGAGACAGGUUGGAUUCUAUCUGAUGGUGCUGGCGGGCGAUUGAGAGUAAAGUCUCCACAGUACGAGAGGAACAGGCGGCUGGGGCCGCUGGUGUACCGGUUGUUCUAAAGAGCAUUGCCGGGUAGCUAAGCCCUUGUAGAUAAGAGCGGAAUGCAUCUACGCUCGAAGCUACUCUCGAAACGAGUCGUCCAUUCUGCAACACUAUAGAGGGACUGGUGACAGUAACUUUCGUUGUAGACGAGAACGCGGAAAGAAGAUCCGUUUGAUAGAGCAGGGGUGUACGCGUCGAGCUUAGGCGAGAUGUUUAGCCCACUGCCACUAACUGUUCAAGCGUAGUUAGGC
This 3416-nucleotide ribosomal RNA is filed under the name Candidatus Heimdallarchaeota archaeon. RNAcentral describes it as "23S ribosomal RNA". It matches the Rfam family "Archaeal large subunit ribosomal RNA". The record is from RNAcentral. Lineage: Archaea; Promethearchaeati; Candidatus Heimdallarchaeota.